GACGAACGCUGGCGGCGUGCUUAACACAUGCAAGUCGAACGAAAGGACGGGAAGAGCUUGCUCUUUCCGGAAUUGAGUGGCAAACGGGUGAGUAACACGUAAACAACCUGCCUUCAGGAUGGGGACAACAGACGGAAACGACUGCUAAUACCGAAUAAGUUCCAAGAGCCGCAUGGCCCAUGGAAGAAAAGGUGGCCUCUACCUGUAAGCUAUCGCCUGAAGAGGGGUUUGCGUCUGAUUAGGCAGUUGGUGAGGUAACGGCCCACCAAACCUACGAUCAGUAGCCGGUCUGAGAGGAUGAACGGCCACACUGGAACUGAGACACGGUCCAGACUCCUACGGGAGGCAGCAGUGGGGAAUCUUCCGCAAUGGGCGAAAGCCUGACGGAGCAACGCCGCGUGAGUGAUGACGGCCUCGGUUGU
Molecule: ribosomal RNA, 422 nt
Filed under: uncultured bacterium
Lineage: Bacteria
Description: bacterial SSU rRNA
Rfam family: Bacterial small subunit ribosomal RNA
Source: RNAcentral